CGUGCGAAUGGAGUGAAACAGGUAUAGAUACUGCAAAUGUGCAAGAAAAUACUCAUACAUUAAUGCUUUGAGAAUAUCACCUAAUCAGAUUCAAACUAAACUACACAUGCACAUCAUAGUUCUCCUUUGGGCGAUCCUAUGAUAUACAAAUAUAUAUAAACCAUAAUGAUGUUAAUAACUUUUAUUUGAUAAUUGUAAAUAUAUCUUAUUAAAAUUUAUUUGUUAUCUUUGGAUAUACAAACAAAUUUAACAAAUCAUAUUAAUUAUCAACCAUCAUGUUCAUGAAUUAUAAGAAAAUAAUUAACCUUUGGGUUAAUCCCUAAGUUCUUAUAAUAAAUGAACUUCAAUAUACCCAUAAGUCCAAAACAUAUCAAUUUCAUACAUAGCAUCAAUUAAUCAUGGGUAAUUGAAUAAAACAAUUUACAAUAUUAAAAAAUUCAAAAGACUUCAAGGUUCGGCCACUUUGGUGACUAACAAACCUUUCAUAAUAUGAAUUUUUUAAUAUUGUAAAAUACAAAUAUUUACCAAAUUGCACACAAGGACAAAAACUUAAUCAAAGCAUAAGGGUAAAAUUGUAAAAUCCUAAUUCCAUAAGGGCAGAAUCAUAAAGUUAUAAUCCAGGGGCAAAAUGGUAAAUCUUCAGCAAUGGCAGAACUGUAAUUAUUAAUUAAACAACGGCAGAACAGUAAAUAUAUUGCGAGAAGGACAAAAUUGGAAUUUUAAAAAAUGGCUAGGGAAAAAAACGUAAAUAAGGCCGCGUGGGGACGUCAGGCGCGUGCCUCGCACGUGCGCGUCCAACGUGCGGGCGCGUGCGUUGCUCGCGCCUGCAACCGCGCGGGAAACCCCGCGCGCGUGGAUCCCACGCGCGCAGCGCUUGCGCGCGCGUGAAGGCGCGUGGCGCGUGGGUUCCACGCGCCUGCAACCGUAGCGCGCGCGUGGAGCCCACGCGCCUUCUUCCUCGCGCACAGACGCGAUUCUUCGCCGUUUUUCCGCCGUUCCGCCACGGUUUCGCCGGCCGUUUCUUCUCCGGCAGCCCAUCCCAGACACAAAUAAAUAAUGGGUUUUGAAGAACAUGCCGGCACGAUCACAUGCGUCCAAGUUUCGGAGAAAAUGACCAAAAAAUUGGCCCAAAUCAAACGAAAAAUUCUCAGAACACAAAACUUCCACCACCGCCGCUUCCGCCGCUCGAUUAGCCUCCGGCGAACACCGAUAUACCGGAAAACUCAUGGCUAAUGUUCCUCAUGACAGUGCGACGGUGUGGGUCCGAAAUCAAGCGGUGGGUUGCCGGAUUUUACCCGGAACCGGCGAGUUUCUUCCUUGCCCUCAAAAUUCCGAAUUCCUCCAUUUUUGUCCUUUUCCACUCGUGCACACACAUUAACUUUUCUCCACCAUUUUAGUCCAUGAAAAACGUCCAUCAUUCGGAUUUUCUUUAACAGAAACUUCCAAAACAUUUCAACAACAACAAAUGCUACGAAUAGGAUCAUUCAACAAAUCAUCAUACAUAAACUAUAAUAUUUCUUUAAACGGAAAAAUCAUGAGAUCAUAAACCAAACGCUCUGAUACCAACUGUUAGACAAUUCAUAUAAAACCUGAUGCGGAAAUUCAUAACAAAUCAAGGAUCUUUGAUCUUCAUGAUUCUCACAAAUAGAUGAAGACAUACCUUUAUCCAUAGCGCUACGCUUGAACUUGAUCCAAAAGAAGAAAUCCGAUUUCUCUCCCUUAACCCACUAAACCUUAAUGUAUUCAAUUGAUGGAGGAGAGAAUACGUUCUUUCUGUUUUGUUGUUCGUAUGUGGGUGGAGAGAGGACCGGACUCUAUUUAUAUGUUCAUUGAAAAGGUGCCUUCCAUCAAAGC
This 1854-nucleotide long non-coding RNA is filed under the name Eucalyptus grandis. RNAcentral's name for it is "long non-coding RNA (EGRA_LNC002161)". Lineage: Eukaryota; Viridiplantae; Streptophyta; Magnoliopsida; Myrtales; Myrtaceae. The record is from RNAcentral.